UAGGGAAUCUUCGGCAAUGGACGAAAGUCUGACCGAGCAACGCCGCGUGAGUGAAGAAGGUUUUCGGAUCGUAAAACUCUGUUGUUAGAGAAGAACAAGGACGUUAGUAACUGAACGUCCCCUGACGGUAUCUAACCAGAAAGCCACGGCUAACUACGUGCCAGCAGCCGCGGUAAUACGAAGGUGGCAAGCGGUGUCCGGAUUUAUUGGGAGUAAAGCGAGCGCAGGCGGUUUCUUAAGUCUGAUGUGAAAGCCCCCGGCUCAACCGGGGAGGGUCAUUGGAAACUAGGAGACUUGAGUGCAGAAGAGGAGAGUGGAAUUCCAUGUGUAGCGGUGAAAUGCGUAGAUAUAUGGAGGAACACCAGUGGCGAAGGCGGCUCUCUGGUCUGUAACAGACGCUGAGGCUAGAAAGCGUGGGGAGCAAACAGG
Molecule: ribosomal RNA, 429 nt
Filed under: Gemmatimonadota bacterium
Lineage: Bacteria; Pseudomonadati; Gemmatimonadota
Description: Gemmatimonadetes bacterium partial 16S ribosomal RNA
Rfam family: Bacterial small subunit ribosomal RNA
Source: RNAcentral